Molecule: RNA transcript, 1521 nt
Organism: Cynara cardunculus var. scolymus (artichoke)
Lineage: Eukaryota; Viridiplantae; Streptophyta; Magnoliopsida; Asterales; Asteraceae
Exons: 6
Source: RefSeq, a predicted model, not a curated record
CUCCCAUUUUAUCGCUAUCCCUAAUCUAAACCCAAUCCCUAAUCGAUUUUCAAACCCAUGAACAGAGAUUUUGAUGAAAUCGAUUCCAACCCAAAUCGAUUUCAUCGCUUCAAACAUAUUAUGAGAUAGAUUUUGAUUUUGAUUUCUAUCUUAUCCCUAAAGCCAAUUCGACUUUCUCGCCAUCCCUAAUCUCUCCUAUCCGUAAAACCGAUUGAUAUUUAUAAGGAUGAGAUCUGGAGUUGGAUGAAAAGAGAUUUCGAUUUAUGUUUUCUGUUUGCAGUUCGAGAAUUUGCUACUAUCAGUAUAGGGAUUUUGAGGUCUAAGAGUAACUCAGACUAUUUAGUCGGCUGCAGCUCACCUGGAAAGCCAAUAGCCCAAAUGUACGACUUUAGAUGCAAUUCCAUUUCAGGUGGUGUUUAUUUGAAGUGUCUAAGAGUAACUCGGACGAUUUAGGCGGUUGGAGCUCACCUGAAAAGCCAAUAGCGCCAAAGGUUUUCAAUGCUCAUACUAUUUUAAUCUAAAUGCCUUGAAAACAACCAAGGGGCCGUUUACCUAAACACUUACCCGCUAAAUCGUUCAUCCAUUUCAUCUUACUUGUCAUCGUUAGAGGUUCUUCUAGCAAUUCCUCUGCACCCCAGUUCAAGAACUUGCUGGUUUGCUACUAUUGGUGGUUGAUUUCGACCCACAGUUGAAGUUGAAGGAAGCGAUUAUUCAGAUAAUGCAAUUUCAAAUAACCACAUAUUCAAUUGCUUAACUGACUCGAACUCCAUCUGCAUAGUAAUGACAUCUUAUCUGAAAAUUAGAACCAAAACUAAACAAAAUCUUCAUAUCCAACGAUUAAUAGGUUGACUCCAUAUGAACCAACCUUUCUUUAACCUUAUGUCUGCAAACAUGAAUAAAUCUUUGAGUUGAAUAUGAAUAUGGAAAACAGAACAUAUUUACAUUCAUGACUUAAACCACUUGGAUAAAAUUGAAAUUUUUAUUAAAAUAACAGAAUGUUUACAACCUAAGGUGGGACUCCCACCAACAAGCAUGUCCACUCAACCAUCAGGACAGGCCCCAGGGUUAAGAUGAACUGCACUACUAUACAAACCAAAAAACCAAAACUAAAACAAAAAGUGAACAACAGCCAUGAUAAAGUUCUUCACAUCUAACUCUAUUCACUUCCUGCCUUUGACACACAGCCAUGAUAAAGUUUACCGUUGAAAGCUGCAACCUGUUUUCCAUCCAAAAAACCAGAUGUAAGUAAAUAUAGUAAGGUUUCAGGUCCAUCAAUGGUUCAUAUUUAACUUAAAGCUAUUAACAAGGAAACAUAUACAUCAAUUUAUAAUUUAUAACAUAUAUAUUAUAUGCACUUUAUAAACGAUCUGAUACAUACUAAUCCUGGUCACUUUCUCUACUAAUUAAGAUCUCUAAAUUAAGAUAUGAGUCAGCUUAUUUGUGACAGUGAUCUAAUGUUUCACAUAACUCCAUAACCAUUCCCUGCUUAAGUACAUAGUGAUGUAAUGUUUCACAUAAGGC